UGGCUCUGGCAUCGAUGAAGAACGCAGCGAAAUGCGAUAAGUAAUGUGAAUUGCAGAAUUCAGUGAAUCAUCGAAUCUUUGAACGCACAUUGCGCCCGCCAGCAUUCUGGCGGGCAUGCCUGUCCGAGCGUCAUUUCAACCCCUCAGGCCCUGGUGCCUGGCGUCGGGGCCCUUCCCUCGCGGGAAGCCCCUAGAACCAGUGGCGGACCCGCCGCGGCUCCGAGCGCAGUAGUGAUUUUCUCGCUCCGGAGGCCAGCGGCGCCGGCCCCCGGCCGUAAAAAAGCCCAUAACACCCAAGGUUGACCUCGGAUCAGGUAGGAAUACCCGCUGA
RNAcentral lists this unclassified non-coding RNA (331 nucleotides) under uncultured fungus. Its description in RNAcentral is "partial contains 5.8S ribosomal RNA and internal transcribed spacer 2". The stretch from base 1 to 133 matches the Rfam family "5.8S ribosomal RNA", at positions 22 to 154 of the family's 154-position model. Lineage: Eukaryota; Fungi. The record is from RNAcentral.